UUUCAAGCUUCCAAGCUCGAUUAGCAAGGAAAACUGAAAUUCGGGCUAAAAUGGAAAAAUACCAAGUUGUGGACGAAAUGAUAAAAGUAGCCAUUUUCGCAUACGAGUUUUGAACAAGCCAGCUCGGGAAUCGGGACGGGUCGAAGGUUCGAUCACACUAUCCAAAGGACUUUCAUCUGGGUAAAUGGCUUGUAAAACUUAAGUAUGGCAUGU
This 213-nucleotide long non-coding RNA is filed under the name Gossypium barbadense (sea-island cotton). RNAcentral's name for it is "long non-coding RNA (GBAR_LNC009130)". The record is from RNAcentral. Lineage: Eukaryota; Viridiplantae; Streptophyta; Magnoliopsida; Malvales; Malvaceae.